UACGUAGGGGGCGAGCGUUGUCCGGAGUUACUGGGCGUAAAGCGCUUGUAGGCGGUCCACCAAGUUUGGGGUGACAGUUGCCGACUUAAUCGGCAAAGUGCCUCAAAGACUGGCGGACUCGAGGGCCACAGAGGGACACGGAACUCCAGGUGUAGUGGUGAAAUGCGUAGAUAUCUGGAAGAACACCAAAGGCGAAGGCAGUGUCCUGGGUGGUCGCUGACGCUGAGAGGCGAAAGCCAGGGGAGCGAACGGG
RNAcentral lists this ribosomal RNA (253 nucleotides) under uncultured bacterium. RNAcentral's name for it is "partial 16S ribosomal RNA". It matches the Rfam family "Bacterial small subunit ribosomal RNA", at positions 524 to 776 of the family's 1533-position model. The record is from RNAcentral.